GAUGAACGCUGGCGGCGUGCCUAAUACAUGCAAGUCGAGCGAACGGACGAGAAGCUUGCUUCUCUGAUGUUAGCGGCGGACGGGUGAGUAACACGUGGAUAACCUACCUAUAAGACUGGGAUAACUUCGGGAAACCGGAGCUAAUACCGGAUAAUAUUUUGAACCGCAUGGUUCAAAAGUGAAAGACGGUCUUGCUGUCACUUAUAGAUGGAUCCGCGCUGCAUUAGCUAGUUGGUAAGGUAACGGCUUACCAAGGCAACGAUGCAUAGCCGACCUGAGAGGGUGAUCGGCCACACUGGAACUGAGACACGGUCCAGACUCCUACGGGAGGCAGCAGUAGGGAAUCUUCCGCAAUGGGCGAAAGCCUGACGGAGCAACGUCGCGUGAGUGAUGAAGGUCUUCGGAUCGUAAAACUCUGUUAUUAGGGAAGAACAUAUGUGUAAGUAACUGUGCACAUCGUGACGGUACCUAAUCAGAAAGCCACGGCUAACUACGUG
RNAcentral lists this ribosomal RNA (497 nucleotides) under uncultured bacterium. Its description in RNAcentral is "partial 16S ribosomal RNA". It matches the Rfam family "Bacterial small subunit ribosomal RNA", at positions 28 to 507 of the family's 1533-position model. The record is from RNAcentral.